Vespa velutina is the source of this 2046-nucleotide RNA transcript. It is a transcript of the gene named CCR4-NOT transcription complex subunit 9, with no coding region annotated. The transcript has 4 exons. Lineage: Eukaryota; Metazoa; Arthropoda; Insecta; Hymenoptera; Vespidae. The record is from RefSeq and is a predicted model, not a curated record.
UAGAGGUUAUGUGGCGCUGCUGUUUCCAUACGCUAUAUUUCUUUCGGUAAAGUUGGUUCUAUCCGGUUAAAGAGCCGAUGCGAGUUUUCUUAAAUAAUCAUUAAAGGAUAUAUAUUUUAUGUAAACCCAUAAUAUAUAUGUAUAUAUAUCAUUAUAAAAUACACGAUUUCCUUUUGAUCGUAUGAAAGAGUGAAACGUAUCACAUGUUUCUUACAAUGAUUUUCAUGUUGCACGUAAGAAUUUAUCGUUUAUAACCUAACAAAUUGUAAUAAGUCGUAUAGAAAAUUUUUUAAAGUAAUACGUAUUAAUUACGAAAGGAAUAAUAUUAUUUAUAAAUAAAAAGGGCAUAAUGAUUUAUGUGAACAAGUGUGACGAUAAAUCUUAAGUGAUUUGAUAUAUUUUUUUUUAUCUUUUCACGUAAGGAUAUUCUUGACGAUAAAAGAAUAUCAAGUCGUUUAUGUUUUACAUUAAAGAAUGUAGCAUUUGUAAUGAAAUAUAGGAUUACCUAUUGAAAUACGAAAUAUUAUAUUCGAAUUUCGUUCGAAUUUAUUUUAUUAUUGUUAUCGUCGAGAAAGGAAUUACGAAGAAAGGGGAAAAUUUAAUAAAGUGAGAUAUAAUCCGUAAGGGAAAAUUGAAAUGAGUUCUCAACAAAGUCCGGCAGCAUUGCAGUCAAGUGUGGAUCGUGAAAAAGUUUAUACAUGGAUCAUUGAAUUGUCAAAUCCUGAAACCAGAGAAAAUGCACUUUUGGAGCUCAGUAAAAAGCGUGAAGUAGUGCCAGACUUAGCACCAAUGUUAUGGCACUCAUUUGGUACUACCGCAUCUCUCUUGCAAGAGAUAAUAAAUAUUUAUCCUGCCAUUAAUCCAGCAACACUAACCGCAUAUCAAAGCAAUCGUGUAUGUAAUGCACUUGCUUUAUUACAAUGCGUUGCCAGUCAUCCAGAUACCAGAUCGGCCUUUUUACAAGCACACGUACCAUUGUUCCUUUAUCCAUUUUUGCAUACCGUAAGCAAAACAAGACCGUUCGAGUAUCUAAGAUUAACGAGUUUAGGAGUUAUAGGGGCAUUGGUUAAAACGGACGAGCAAGAAGUAAUAACAUUUUUAUUAACGACAGAAAUUAUUCCACUUUGUUUGAGAAUCAUGGAAAGUGGCUCGGAAUUAAGUAAAACCGUGGCCACUUUUAUCCUUCAGAAAAUUUUGUUAGAUGACAGCGGUCUUUCUUAUAUAUGUCAGACUUAUGAUAGGUUUAGCCAUGUUGCUAUGAUAUUAGGAAAAAUGGUAUUGUCCUUGGCAAAAGAUCCAUCAGCAAGAUUAUUAAAACAUGUUGUUAGAUGUUACUUAAGACUCUCUGAUAAUCCAAGAGCCUUAUUGGCAUUGAGACAAUGUUUACCGGAUCAAUUAAGAGAUAAUACCUUUGCAACUUGUUUACAAGAGGAUGCAUCUACCAAACAUUGGUUGAAUCAACUACUUAAGAAUUUAGAAACUGGUCCACAACCAGGUCCUCCUACUCAACCGGGUCAACAAGAUCCUAGGGCUAUUGGAAUGUCGCCGCUUACAUCUUAGAUCUUAAACUUCUAUUAUUAAAAUAAUGAUUCAUAUUUUUCUAGAGAGAGAGAGAGAGAGAGAGAGAGAGAGAGAGAGAGAGAGAGAGAGCGAUAAAUCGAGUCUUUUUUGUUCUGAGCGAUAAUAAAUAUCGCAAUAACUAAGAAAUCACAGUCUGAACUUACUAAUAUGUAAUUUAGAAUACAAAAAUAAUAUCUAAUAUCCCGACGAGUGAUGUAGAUUUUUCCUCUCUGAUCUCCUCCUUGAAAGUUCCAUGCUGUUCUGUGGAUAGGAAAAAAAAAAGAAAAAAAAAAAAAAAAAAGAAAAGAAAAGAAACAAAGAACAAACUAAAAAUUGUAUAUGCAUUGUAACAUUUGUAAAUAAUAUCUAAUGAUGAUAAACAUGGACGACGAAGGAAGGAUUAUUCUUAAAUUAUAUAUAUACAUACCGUUUCUCUUGAAAUUUUAGAACGUAAUAAACCAUGUAUGAUUGGCGUGUACAACUUUA